GCCUCUGUAGCCCAAUCGGUAGAGGCAGCAGACUUAAAAUCUGUCAAGUGUGGGUUCGAGUCCCACCAGAGGCA
This 74-nucleotide transfer RNA is filed under the name Actinomycetaceae bacterium. RNAcentral's name for it is "tRNA-Leu". It matches the Rfam family "tRNA". Rfam says of the family: Transfer RNA (tRNA) molecules are approximately 80 nucleotides in length. Their secondary structure includes four short double-helical elements and three loops (D, anti-codon, and T loops). Further hydrogen bonds mediate the characteristic L-shaped molecular structure. tRNAs have two regions of fundamental functional importance: the anti-codon, which is responsible for specific mRNA codon recognition, and the 3' end, to which the tRNAs corresponding amino acid is attached (by aminoacyl-tRNA synthetases). tRNAs cope with the degeneracy of the genetic code in two manners: having more than one tRNA (with a specific anti-codon) for a particular amino acid; and 'wobble' base-pairing, i.e. permitting non-standard base-pairing at the 3rd anti-codon position. The record is from RNAcentral. Lineage: Bacteria; Bacillati; Actinomycetota; Actinomycetes; Actinomycetales; Actinomycetaceae.